UAGCAACAAUAUAUUUCGAUUAGUUUCUCAAAUGAGAAAGGGUAGCAACAGGAGAAAGCGAUAGAUGAGUAAUGCAUUUUAAACCCAAAAUUUGAACAGGAACAAAUCAAAUAAAAACUUUACAUAACAGCUCAUAAUUUCAAACACUUUCUCUUAUUAUCAGGAGUUUUAAUUUUACAUCAGUUAUACCUGUGUGGCUGUGUCCAGUCAUGUAAAGAUGGUUGUUAUACUUCCCUUUCUCUUCUACUAUUUCUUUCUUGUAAAACAAUAUUUCACUCCAAUUCUUUCUUCUCUUUCUUCACCAGUGUGCAUGAAAGACGAGAGAAACCAUACGUGUUCUUCGCUUUUUUGUUCCGGAGCCUUUCUCUUCUUUCCAUCUGCUCUUUAACAGUGCAAACAAACUGCAAAGUGUAUGGGAUUUGGUCACAUUUUAUUCAUGAGAUGGUCUAGAUUAGUAUUAGUAUGGAUACGGAAAAAUAAUUCUAGUAUUGAAUAGAAUAGGCAUAAUAGACAAGGGAAGAAUAAAUAUAGAUAGAAAUCGAUUGUGGAAGAAUUUUUUUAAAAAAACGACGAACUUUGACACCUUGGAUAAAGACUCGUAUAAUCUUAUAUGUUUUGAAUGCACGUAUGGAUCAAUAUUUUAGAUGACAAAUCGAUUCUAACAUGGAACACUAAAGAUACUUAUUCCUUUCUUUUUAUUUCCGUGUAAAAUGCUACAGCAGGAAUAACCACUUGACGAACAUCGGAAACUCUGAGGUCCAACAAAUUAUACAAUACUUCGAACAUAAAAUAUUUCAAUUUUCAUGUGUCUGCAUUGUCUACUUUAGACAGGAUAAACUAAAAAUAUUGUAGGAUUGCGUAUUGGUGUUCAUAACACGGAACGGAAGACAAUAACAAUCCUAGGCAGAACUUUUCGUGUUUAAAAUUCAUUUACAUGUCAUAGAUCGGAUCUAAGACGUACCUGGUGAAGAGAGUCGCGUUUUAAAUUUCUUUGAUAGUGCAGGUGUAUCCACACCGAGACUGAUCCUUGCUAUCAACUCUUUGAUCAAUGAAACCCCGCGAACAA
Molecule: long non-coding RNA, 1066 nt
Filed under: Nicotiana tabacum (common tobacco)
Lineage: Eukaryota; Viridiplantae; Streptophyta; Magnoliopsida; Solanales; Solanaceae
Description: long non-coding RNA (NTAB_LNC004128)
Source: RNAcentral